Molecule: ribosomal RNA, 465 nt
Filed under: uncultured bacterium
Lineage: Bacteria
Description: bacterial SSU rRNA
Rfam family: Bacterial small subunit ribosomal RNA
Source: RNAcentral
CCUACGGGUCGCAGCAGUGGGGAAUAUUGUACAAUGGGCGCAAGCCUGAUGCAGCCAUGCCGCGUGUAUGAAGAAGGCCUUCGGGUUGUAAGGUACUUUCAGCGGGGAGGAAGGCGAUAAGGUUAAUAACCUUGUCGAUUGACGUUACCCGCAGAAGAAGCACCGGCUAACUCCGUGCCAGCAGCCGCGGUAAUACGGAGGGUGCAAGCGUUAAUCGGAAUUACUGGGCGUAAAGCGCACGCAGGCGGUCUGUCAAGUCGGAUGUGAAAUCCCCGGGCUCAACCUGGGGACUGCAUUCGAAACUGGCAGGCUAGAGUCUUGUAGAGGGGGGUAGAAUUCCAGGUGCAGCGGUGAAAUGCGUAGAGAUCUGGAGGAAUACCGGUGGCGAAGGCGGCCCCCUGGACAAAGACUGACGCUCAGGUGCGAAAGCGUGGGGAGCAAACAGGAUUAGAUACCCUUGUAGUC